This 206-nucleotide unclassified non-coding RNA is filed under the name Hevea brasiliensis (rubber tree). Lineage: Eukaryota; Viridiplantae; Streptophyta; Magnoliopsida; Malpighiales; Euphorbiaceae. The record is from RNAcentral.
GAAGAUUCUAACCUGAAUGAUGUUGCUGCAUUGCCUGGUUCAAGUGCUGUAAGGGCUAACGAGGAAAGCAGCCAACAGCUUCCCAAUGGUAAUAACAUUGACAUCUGGAAACAUGUUGGUUCUUCAGUCAAACCUAAAGAACGUGAGUUUCCAGGAAAAUACCAACCUCAUAUGGAUAAGAGGUUGGUAUUUUCCUGGAAACUCAC